Molecule: long non-coding RNA, 664 nt
Filed under: Homo sapiens (human)
Lineage: Eukaryota; Metazoa; Chordata; Mammalia; Primates; Hominidae
Description: uncharacterized LOC101927358 (LOC101927358)
Source: RNAcentral
AUUAGAGCAGAAAUUCUCUCCUGCCCUGUACUUCCUUCCCCACUUCCUACCUUUGAUAGUUGGAAUACUGGCAGGCAUCUCACCACCAAGAGAAGACAAACUAAAGGAUCAAAAGCAACGUACUGAAGAUAGGAGAGCAAAAGAUGAAAAUAACUUGGAUCGUUAGUGAUCCUGAAGGGCCACCAAAUAAACCUUUGGAUGCUUACCUCUAUACUUCCUAUUGACAAAACACUUCUCUACUUCAAGUUUUAUCACGGACCAGGACUGAUCAACUAAAUGCGAAUAGAUGUGUUCUAUAUCAGCUUCCCUAGAACACAAAGCCUGAAUCAAGGAUGAAAGGAAGAUGCUUUUUGGCAAGGCAUAAAUUCAGAGGAUCCAGGAUGAGGACAAAGGCAAGUGAGCUAUGCAAGAUGUAAAAUGAUGUUUCAACAACACAAAGCUGAUUGUUUGGCAGUUGCAUCUAUUUCAUGCAUAGAACUUCUCCAGAUGGACUACCAAGAAACACUGUGCUUCAAAGAAUUUGAUAAGGACUAUGAAAGGAUAACAGAGCUGUGAUGGAACUCGAGAUCUAAGUGAUUCUAAGUGACCCCCCAACACACAAUGAAGCCUCUGCAAAGAAAAGCUUAAAUUAAAAUAGAACACAAACUCAAAAAAAAAAAAAAAA